UACAGAGGGUGCAAGCGUUUGUUCGGAAUUAUUGGGCGUAAAGCGCGUGUAGGCGGCUUUGCAAGUCGGGGUGUGAAAGCCCUCAGCUCAACUGAGGAAGUGCGCCCGAAACUGCAGAGCUUGAGUACCGGAGAGGGUGGCGGAAUUCCCCAAGUAGAGGUGAAAUUCGGUCAGAUAUGGGGGAGGAACACCGGGUGGCGAAGGCGGCCAGCC
This 213-nucleotide ribosomal RNA is filed under the name uncultured bacterium. Its description in RNAcentral is "partial 16S ribosomal RNA". It matches the Rfam family "Bacterial small subunit ribosomal RNA", at positions 524 to 730 of the family's 1533-position model. The record is from RNAcentral.